UACAGAGGUCCCGAGCGUUGUUCGGAUUCAUUGGGCGUAAAGGGUGCGUAGGUGGCGCUGUAAGUGGGGUGUGAAAUCCCGGGGCUUAACUCCGGAACUGCAUUCCAUACUGCGGUGCUUGAGGACUGGAGAGGAGACUGGAAUUCAUGGUGUAGCAGUGAAAUGCGUAGAGAUCAUGAGGAAGACCAGUGGCGAAGGCGGGUCUCUGGACAGUUCCUGACACUGAGGCACGAAGGCCAGGGGAGCAAACGGG
Molecule: ribosomal RNA, 253 nt
Filed under: uncultured bacterium
Lineage: Bacteria
Description: partial 16S ribosomal RNA
Rfam family: Bacterial small subunit ribosomal RNA
Source: RNAcentral